Molecule: ribosomal RNA, 253 nt
Filed under: uncultured bacterium
Lineage: Bacteria
Description: partial 16S ribosomal RNA
Rfam family: Bacterial small subunit ribosomal RNA
Source: RNAcentral
UACGGAGGGAGCUAGCGUUGUUCGGAAUUACUGGGCGUAAAGGGUCUGUAGGUGGCCAACUAAGUCAGACGUGAAAUCCCUCAGCUUAACUGGGGAACUGCGUCUGAUACUGGAUGGCUCGAGUGUGGGAGAGGAAUGCGGAAUUCCAGGUGUAGCGGUGAAAUGCGUAGAUAUCUGGAGGAACACCGGUGGCGAAGGCGGCAUUCUGGACCAUAACUGACACUGAGAGACGAAAGCCAGGGGAGCAAACGGG